GUGGUAAGACGAUCUGUCGCGGCCAAUCUCCGGCUUUCCGGGGAUGAUGCUGAGGAAAGUCCGCACAGGGCAGGGCACCCGUCUGUGGAAAGCACAGUGGGGAGUAAUCUUCAAGGUACCUGUAACAGAGAAUAACCGCCGAAAGGUAAGGGUGAAAACGCGGGGUAAGAGCCCACGACGCUGCAUGGCGACAUGUAGCGGGUACGGUACCCGGGCCUGCAAGACCAAAUAUACCGGCAGAUGAGGACGGCCCGUCCGAUGCCGGGGGGUAGGUUGCGAAGAUAAAUGACAGAUUCAAAAACAGAAAGCGGCUUACGGCCUUGCCACUUUU
RNAcentral lists this RNase P RNA (331 nucleotides) under Rikenellaceae bacterium. Its description in RNAcentral is "RNase P RNA component class A". It matches the Rfam family "Bacterial RNase P class A". Rfam says of the family: Ribonuclease P (RNase P) is a ubiquitous endoribonuclease, found in archaea, bacteria and eukarya as well as chloroplasts and mitochondria. Its best characterised activity is the generation of mature 5'-ends of tRNAs by cleaving the 5'-leader elements of precursor-tRNAs. Cellular RNase Ps are ribonucleoproteins. Lineage: Bacteria; Pseudomonadati; Bacteroidota; Bacteroidia; Bacteroidales; Rikenellaceae. The record is from RNAcentral.